UACGUAGGGAGCAAGCGUUGUCCGGAAUCAUUGGGCGUAAAGCGCGCGUAGGUGGCCUCAUAAGUCCGCUGUGAAAGUCAAAGGCUCAACCUUUGAAAGCCGGUGGAUACUGUGAGGCUAGAGUACGGAAGAGGCGAGUGGAAUUCCUGGUGUAGCGGUGGAAUGCGCAGAUAUCCGGAGGAACACCAAUAGCGAAGGCAGCUCGCUGGGACGUUACUGACACUGAGGCGCGAAAGCGUGGGGAGCGAACAGG
RNAcentral lists this ribosomal RNA (253 nucleotides) under uncultured bacterium. Its description in RNAcentral is "partial 16S ribosomal RNA". It matches the Rfam family "Bacterial small subunit ribosomal RNA", at positions 524 to 776 of the family's 1533-position model. The record is from RNAcentral.